CCUACGGGAGGCAGCAGUGGGGAAUAUUGCACAAUGGGCGCAAGCCUGAUGCAGCAACGCCGCGUGAGGGACGACGGCCUUCGGGUUGUAAACCUCUUUUAGUAGGGAAGAAGCGAAAGUGACGGUACCUGCAGAAAAAGCACCGGCUAACUACGUGCCAGCAGCCGCGGUAAUACGUAGGGUGCAAGCGUUAUCCGGAAUUAUUGGGCGUAAAGAGCUCGUAGGCGGUUUGUCGCGUCUGCUGUGAAAACUGGAGGCUCAACCUCCAGCCUGCAGUGGGUACGGGCAAACUAGAGUGCGGUAGGGGAGAUUGGAAUUCCUGGUGUAGCGGUGGAAUGCGCAGAUAUCAGGAGGAACACCGAUGGCGAAGGCAGAUCUCUGGGCCGUAACUGACGCUGAGGAGCGAAAGCAUGGGGAGCGAACAGGAUUAGAUACCCUGGUAGUCCAUGCCGUAAACGUUGGGCGCUAGAUGUGGACGACUCUACGUUCCGUCGUCGCNGCUACGACAUAGUCGCCCGCCGUCGGGNGGUACGGCCGGCGACGGACGUAAACGUUAAACGUAAGUAGUUAGUUACGUGUUGAGACGCGACGACGACGACGACGGAGGAGGAGG
RNAcentral lists this ribosomal RNA (613 nucleotides) under uncultured bacterium. RNAcentral's name for it is "bacterial SSU rRNA". The stretch from base 1 to 520 matches the Rfam family "Bacterial small subunit ribosomal RNA", at positions 338 to 873 of the family's 1533-position model. The record is from RNAcentral.